Molecule: non-coding RNA, 831 nt
Organism: Cicer arietinum (chickpea)
Lineage: Eukaryota; Viridiplantae; Streptophyta; Magnoliopsida; Fabales; Fabaceae
Source: RefSeq, a predicted model, not a curated record
UGAUUUCACGCAUUUUUUCAGUUUAAUUAAUUAACGGAACCAAACCCAAAAAUCUCUCUCAAUUCUGAUUUCUGAAGCUCUCAUAAGAGAGAUUAAGGAAAGCCCAAAACCCUUUCUCACUCUCUCUCAAUUCAGAAACAAAAACCCGCUAACGUAACUCACCGGCGAUGAAACGGAACUCACCGUUGGAAGAGAACUAAUCGGCGUCUCUGAAGAGGAGAGGGCUACGUGUGGAGGUGCGACGUUGAUGAUUCAAGAAACCCUCGAUGACGAGAAACUGCAAAACAACAACUGCUGCAUCGUGAUCCUUCACUUCCACCAGAAAUGGGUUUUGAUUUAAUCUAUUUGUGAUUUGGCUGUUCUAAUAUCAGCCGAUUAUAGAGACAAAAUGAACUGAACCAAGAUCUAGGUUCCUGGUUUAACCUGUCGAAGCACCGAUUUGGUUUGAAUAGCCUUUGGUAAUUACUCUUAGUCAUAGAAUCAAAUGUUUAUUAGGUUGUCUUUAUUUACUUGCCUACAUAUUUUUGGGUUAAUUUGGAAAAAUAAAUAGAUGAAAAAUGUAUCAGUUUUCUCAUUGACUUAGAAAUAUUUAUAUGAUUAACAUAGUAAAUAAAUUUUAGAAUUUUUAUUAAACAUUAAUACAUUACUCUUAGUAAUAUUUGAUUUAUGUUCAAAAUUGGGAUAUGAAAGUGGUAGUAUUAACAAGUGUUAGUGACAACUCAUUAUAGCCGUUAUCCUUAAGAGAGACAAUUAUAAUUAAUAGACAUGUGUUGUAUUUUAUCUAGAAUGUUAUUCCUUUGCAACUAAAACGUUCUUGGUUUUGUGCUUGAA